Long non-coding RNA from Mytilus californianus (California mussel), 470 nucleotides. RefSeq lists it as uncharacterized. The record is from RefSeq and is a predicted model, not a curated record. NCBI's taxonomy places the organism in Eukaryota, Metazoa, Mollusca, Bivalvia, Mytilida, Mytilidae. The transcript has 4 exons.
CUUUAUUUUAUAUUGUUAACAUUUUUUAAAUGUUGUGUGUCCUAUUACAUAGAAAUAUCUGGUAAACUUAAGUAAAGUGAGGAAACAACGACAUAUCAAGCAAUGGGAGACGAAUAUGUUACACCGACAAGCGACGUUUCAAAAGUCAAUAACAGUGACCCGGGAAGCAACCUUACGACGGUCGAUAACGUUAAACUAGCAAGUGAUAAUACGAAGGACAAUAACGAAAAAAAGAUCGAGUAUGCUCAAGCAAGAGCCUUAGCAGAAAUUUUUAAGAGCAUCGAUCCAGGGACACUUGAUGUAAGUGGAUGAGUAUUAAAAGUUAUGCUGUUGUUAUUAGAGAAAGAGAUAUGCAAGCCUGAAGAUAAGAAGGAUCUAAUGCUGCUGUUAAGGAACAGCUUAUUGUUUUUUUUAUUCUCAACACGGUUUUUUUUUUUAUUUAAUAAAGUGUGUGCAGCGAACAUCCUUAA